Molecule: long non-coding RNA, 363 nt
Organism: Labrus mixtus (cuckoo wrasse)
Lineage: Eukaryota; Metazoa; Chordata; Actinopteri; Labriformes; Labridae
Exons: 2
Source: RefSeq, a predicted model, not a curated record
AUUUUUUUCUAAAUUUCAUUAGAUUUUGAGAACGAUACGUGUUAUCCAUAGUUGACAGGUGGGCGCGAUGUAACGGUUUGUCAAGAGGCUUAAGAACCCGCCUCAGCUCCAGCUCUCAGCCUGUCGUUAAGAUGACUGAAAGUUAAGUUGAGACAGGAUUUCCAGCAUGGAGACCGCCAUUGAUGGGACUCCAAAGCCCCCUGCAGGAACAGAUGGCUGACGUCACUCAGGCUUCGUCUAUACAUAUUUACAGAUUAUGUUUCAAACCACAAACUGGGAAAAAAACAUGGACGUAGUAUAAGUGAUGUCAUCAAUUGGACGAGGUGUUUUGAAACUUAAAGAUGGCGGUCACAAUAUUGAAAA